RNAcentral lists this ribosomal RNA (437 nucleotides) under uncultured Oscillospiraceae bacterium. Its description in RNAcentral is "partial 16S ribosomal RNA". It matches the Rfam family "Bacterial small subunit ribosomal RNA", at positions 341 to 792 of the family's 1533-position model. Lineage: Bacteria; Bacillati; Bacillota; Clostridia; Eubacteriales; Oscillospiraceae. The record is from RNAcentral.
ACGGAAGGCAGCAGUGGGGAAUAUUGCACAAUGGGGGAAACCCUGAUGCAGCAACGCCGCGUGAAGGAUGACGGCCUUCGGGUUGUAAACUUCUUUGACAGGGAACGAAGGCAGUGACGGAACCUUGAAAACAAGCCACGGCUAACUACGUGCCAGCAGCCGCGGUAAUACGUAGGUGGCACGCGUUGUCCGGCUUUACUGGGUGUAAAGGGCGCGUAGGCGGGUCUGCAAGUCAGAUGUGAAAUACCGAAGCUUAACUUCGGAGCUGCAUCUGAAACUGUGGAUCUUGAGUACUUGAGAGGAAAGUGGAAUUCCUAGUGUAGCGGUGAAAUGCGUAGAUAUUAGGAGGAACACCGGUGGCGAAGGCGGCUUUCUGGACAGUAACUGACGCUGAGGCGCGAAAGCGUGGGGAGCAAACAGGAUUAGAUACCCUGGUA